This 69-nucleotide transfer RNA is filed under the name Ophiocomina nigra. Its description in RNAcentral is "transfer RNA-Met". It matches the Rfam family "tRNA". Rfam says of the family: Transfer RNA (tRNA) molecules are approximately 80 nucleotides in length. Their secondary structure includes four short double-helical elements and three loops (D, anti-codon, and T loops). Further hydrogen bonds mediate the characteristic L-shaped molecular structure. tRNAs have two regions of fundamental functional importance: the anti-codon, which is responsible for specific mRNA codon recognition, and the 3' end, to which the tRNAs corresponding amino acid is attached (by aminoacyl-tRNA synthetases). tRNAs cope with the degeneracy of the genetic code in two manners: having more than one tRNA (with a specific anti-codon) for a particular amino acid; and 'wobble' base-pairing, i.e. permitting non-standard base-pairing at the 3rd anti-codon position. The record is from RNAcentral. Lineage: Eukaryota; Metazoa; Echinodermata; Ophiuroidea; Amphilepidida; Ophiocomidae.
AAUAGAAUAAGUUAAAGAAACUAUCGGGCUCAUGACUCGAAAAUAAAGGUGAAACUCCUUUUUCUAUAU